This 216-nucleotide ribosomal RNA is filed under the name uncultured bacterium. RNAcentral's name for it is "partial 16S ribosomal RNA". It matches the Rfam family "Bacterial small subunit ribosomal RNA", at positions 118 to 351 of the family's 1533-position model. The record is from RNAcentral.
UGGGAACCUUCCCUAUGGUUCGGAAUAGCUCAGGGGAAACUCGGGGUAAUACCGGAUAAGCCCUUCGGGGAAAGAUUUAUCGCCAUUGGAUGGGCCCGCGUCGGAUUAGCUAGUUGGUGAGGUAACGGCUCACCAAGGCAACGAUCCGUAGCUGGUCUGAGAGGACGAUCAGCCACACUGGGACUGAGACACGGCCCAGACUCCUACGGGAGGCAG